ACGGGAGGCAGCAGUGGGGAAUAUUGGACAAUGGGGGAAACCCUGAUCCAGCGACGCCGCGUGAGUGAAGAAGUAUUUCGGUAUGUAAAGCUCUAUCAGCAGGGAAGAUGAUGACGGUACCUGACUAAGAAGCCCCGGCUAACUACGUGCCAGCAGCCGCGGUAAUACGUAGGGGGCAAGCGUUAUCCGGAUUUACUGGGUGUAAAGGGAGUGUAGGCGGCGAUGCAAGUCAGAUGUGAAAGCCCGGGGCUCAACCCCGGGACUGCAUUUGAAACUGUAUUGCUAGAGUACUGGAGGGGUAAGCGGAAUUCCUAGUGUAGCGGUGAAAUGCGUAGAUAUUAGGAGGAACACCAGUGGCGAAGGCGGCUUACUGGACGAUAACUGACGCUGAGGCUCGAAAGCGUGGGGAGCAAACAGGAUUAGAUACCCUGGUA
This 434-nucleotide ribosomal RNA is filed under the name uncultured Lachnospiraceae bacterium. RNAcentral's name for it is "partial 16S ribosomal RNA". It matches the Rfam family "Bacterial small subunit ribosomal RNA", at positions 341 to 792 of the family's 1533-position model. The record is from RNAcentral. Lineage: Bacteria; Bacillati; Bacillota; Clostridia; Lachnospirales; Lachnospiraceae.